Molecule: non-coding RNA, 1199 nt
Organism: Heterocephalus glaber (naked mole-rat)
Lineage: Eukaryota; Metazoa; Chordata; Mammalia; Rodentia; Bathyergidae
Source: RefSeq, a predicted model, not a curated record
GAAAAAAAUGCCAGCAUUGGUCUUGUGGUGAAAUGUGUUUCUUUAUAAAUGCCCUGAUGUUGCCUUCGAGCCUGAGGCAUGGGGAGAGGAAGAAGCAGACUUCAUGUUUCUGACCAAGGUGGCAGGCCUGGCUGGGCUGCAGUUUGUGGACCUCUGCUGUAGACCAGAGCCUGGGGUACAUCACCAGCGAGCUGCGGAAUAAAUGCCAGCCAUAGAAGAGACUGUGACAUCUUCAAAACAUGUGCUAUCAAAACAACAUCAUUCCCUACAAGGAAGAUGACAUUUACAAAGGAAAUGUGAGCCCAGGAUUGAUUGAAGGAAAUCAAAGAAAGCAAGAAGGUUGGGUUCAAGAGAUCACUGUUAGAAGGGUUUCUUCCACACAGCCUUCCUGACCCCAGGACAGUCUGCUUUCUUUUUUGUCACCUGGAUUUUCCUGUCCUCAGGCACCCCUUCCUUUACCCUAAAGGAUUUAGACCUCUCUAGGCGCAGGAGGCCAUGUUACCGCUGUCUGUGGCUUCCUGGCAUCCUCUGCUGCCCCCAGUGCCUAAGAUGCUGAGGGUCUGGUGGCCCAGAGCCAAGUGCACUGGAGCCACUCCAGACCUGUCUCUGGGACAGCAGCUGCGGCAUCUCGCUGACACCAAAAUACAUUCCUGAGGCGAGGGCAGACAGGCCACACCAGUGCAGGUCUUCUGCCCUCUGAGGAUCUGGCUUCAUCCUAAGGACACAUUGGUCAUGAGGACACCCCAAGUGCUAAACCCCUCACCCAGGAGAUCUCAGCCAGCUCAGCACUUUCCCCAAGGCCUGGGCUCACCCAGAGGCAUCCCCCCAAUGCCGCUUGGCUGGCCCAAGGCAGAAGUAAAUCACACAGGGAAGGAAUUUCUCAGAUACCGUAGCCACUGGCGACUUGACGGGUGCCAUGAAUCAGGAUUUCACCCCAUUUCACCUGUACUCUCCCUAAGGCAUGUGCAAGGCCUCUGGAGGCCAACAGUAGGAGAAGAUGAUGCAGGCCAAAUUCAGCCAGGGUGAGCAUCAAUGGUGCUGCCUCUUUGUCAACUUAUUACCUGAGAUUUAUGCAUGAUGCAGCCAGGUCUGCUCGGUGACACAUUCUAAUUUAAUUAAAUUUCUGUUGGAUUGAUGUCUGAUCAAUCAAUAAUGUUAAUGUUUUUGCAAUUUGGAGAUUAAAGUAUGGUCAAGCCACA